RNAcentral lists this transfer RNA (77 nucleotides) under Enterobacter cloacae. Its description in RNAcentral is "tRNA-Pro". It matches the Rfam family "tRNA". Rfam says of the family: Transfer RNA (tRNA) molecules are approximately 80 nucleotides in length. RNAcentral also lists the same sequence under 19 other names. Lineage: Bacteria; Pseudomonadati; Pseudomonadota; Gammaproteobacteria; Enterobacterales; Enterobacteriaceae. The record is from RNAcentral.
CGGGGCGUAGCUCAGCCUGGUAGAGUACUACGUUCGGGACGUAGGAGUCGGAGGUUCGAAUCCUCUCGCCCCGACCA